GCCUACGGGGGCAGCAGUCGAGAAUCAUUCACAAUGGGGGAAACCCUGAUGGUGCGACGCCGCGUGGGGGAAUGAAGGUCUUCGGAUUGUAAACCCCUGUCAUGUGGGAGCAAAUUAAAAAGAUAGUACCACAAGAGGAAGAGACGGCUAACUCUGUGCCGGCAGCCGCGGUAAUACAGAGGUCUCAAGCGUUGUUCGGAAUCACUGGGCGUAAAGCGUGCGUAGGCUGUUUCGUAAGUCGUGUGUGAAAGGCGCGGGCUCAACCCGCGGACGGCACAUGAUACCGCGAGACUAGAGUAAUGGAG
RNAcentral lists this ribosomal RNA (305 nucleotides) under uncultured bacterium. RNAcentral's name for it is "bacterial SSU rRNA". It matches the Rfam family "Bacterial small subunit ribosomal RNA", at positions 337 to 654 of the family's 1533-position model. The record is from RNAcentral.